AGAGAGAGAGAGAGAGAGAGAGACGUAAAAGAGUGUGUGUGUGUGUGGGGGUGGAAGAAGGGAUGCUACGGGUGUCGGAGGACGGAGGGCGGCGGAGGGAGGGCUACGUGGAGAUCUACCGCCAGCUCGGUCGAACCCUCCUCGAUCUCCAAGACGCCGCCGAUCGAGUUUUCGACGUCAUCUCUCUGCGAACUUCUCAAGAGCAAGAUAAACUGUCCGAAAUCUCCCGGAGAAUCCAAGUAGCCAAGGCUAAGAUUGAUUCUCUAUCUCGUUCAGAGCAAGCACUCACUGUUAUAUCACCAGCACGGUAUCCGUCAACAUGCAUCGUCGAAGAAAAUUUUCCACCACUGUUCCAAUACAGUAAUGAAGGAAAUGAACCAGGCUUUCCAGUGGCAAAGUUGUUAGUUGAUGGAGGAUUGAACAGAGAAUAUGGAAGAGAUUGUACACUUGAACUAUUUCAAUUCUUUUCUGAAGAGAACAUCAGCUAUCCCUCGAUGGAAAGUGAUUUGAAGGGAGGAGUUAAGCUUACUGAACCAAAUAAUAAUAUAUCUUUGCAGAAGAUUUUUGAAGCAACAAGAUUUCUUUCGACGGAUAAAAGUACCUCAACAUCUGAGUCUGAAUCUAAGAGUGAAGAGUUGCCACCUCCUCCUCCAAGUUUGCUUCUGAAAAAUUCCGAUUGGUAAUUGGCUCUGAUACCAACUGUGACGGCCUACUUCCUAUGGGGUCACUCAUCCUAAAACUACUGUAGUCCUGGCACGCUUAACUCUCUUAAUCCCUUGAGCCUAGCCGCCGCCCAAAAUGCUAUAGUCGGGUUAAGAGUUUUAGCCCUAUUAUAUCUUAUAUAUAGGACUAUUUGGGGUCUCACACAACGACAAAGUGCAAAGCUGUCUCUAUUUUGAAGCAUUUUGGUUGAGGGAAAUGAAAGACGGAGAAAAAGGAACACAAAUGCUGGAACUGCUGAUAAAGCAAAGCUUGUUGUAAUUAGGCCACAAAACUGUCUAUGAAAG
RNA transcript from Ananas comosus (pineapple), 1007 nucleotides. RefSeq lists it as uncharacterized. The transcript is spliced from 7 exons. The record is from RefSeq and is a predicted model, not a curated record. Lineage: Eukaryota; Viridiplantae; Streptophyta; Magnoliopsida; Poales; Bromeliaceae.